RNAcentral lists this ribosomal RNA (776 nucleotides) under uncultured Neocallimastigales. RNAcentral describes it as "partial large subunit ribosomal RNA". It matches the Rfam family "Eukaryotic large subunit ribosomal RNA", at positions 24 to 618 of the family's 3401-position model. The record is from RNAcentral. Lineage: Eukaryota; Fungi; Neocallimastigomycota; Neocallimastigomycetes; Neocallimastigales.
UAUCUCUGUAGAGUCUGCAUAUCAAUAAGCGGAGGAAAAGAAACUAACUAGGAUUCCCUCAGUAACGGCGAGUGAAGCGGGAAGAGCUCAAAUUUGAAAUCUUCAAGGUUCUACCUUGACGAAUUGUAGUUUAAAGAAGUGUUUUCUGUUGGAGUUUUGGUAAAAGUUCUUUGGAAUAGGACAUCAUAGAGGGUGAGAAUCCCGUAUUUGACCAUUAUUUCCAGCUUUGUGAUACACUUUCAAAGAGUCGGAUUGUUUGGGAAUGCAGUCCAAAAUGGGUGGUAAAUUUCAUCUAAAGCUAAAUAUUGGCGAGAGACCGAUAGCGAACAAGUACCGUGAGGGAAAGAUGAAAAGAACUUUGAAAAGAGAGUUAAACAGUACGUGAAAUUGUCAAAAGGGAAGCGUUUGACACCAGUGUUGUUUCUACGAAAAUCAAUUAAAAAAGGCAGGGAUUUUGUGUUGUAUUGACUUUAUCAGCUUUCUGCACUUUUUUCCUGUCUUUUUUAAUGCACUUUUCGUUUAACAAGUCAACAUCAAUUUCUUUUGUUGUAAAAGGGUCAUUGGAAGGUGGCUUUCUUUUCGGAGAAAGUGUUUAUAGCCUUUGGCCUCUGCAAUCGGAGAGAUUGAGGUCUGCAGCGUAGAUCCUUCGGGGUUAGAUACAUUUGUGCUAAGUUAUAGCCAUUUCAUAGACAACUUGUUGACUAUGAUCAGUCAUGUAGCUUACUCGCUUAUGCUAUUUUACCUACGCUUAGGAUGUUGAGUCAUCACACAUCUCU